This is an RNA transcript of Homalodisca vitripennis (glassy-winged sharpshooter), 1397 nucleotides long. RefSeq lists it as uncharacterized. Lineage: Eukaryota; Metazoa; Arthropoda; Insecta; Hemiptera; Cicadellidae. The transcript has 5 exons. The record is from RefSeq and is a predicted model, not a curated record.
GUGAAAGGUCACCGUUUUCGGUUAGGACGGAACGGCAACGCUAGUAAACAGUCUGCUCUGUUUGUUUAUUGUUGUUUUUUUUUUUAAUGGAGGGUUGUAGAAAAUUUAGUUCUUUUGACCAGUUGAAAACUUGGAUCAGUAAUAAAGAAAAGACGGACAAUAUUAAAUUAAGAAUAGGUGACUCGAGAACAAUUGCGUGCGUUCGUAAACGUGGGAUCAUAAGGUUUAUUAAUGAACAAUUGAAAUAUUAUGAAAUUACGUACAGAUGUAUCCAUAGUGGACACAGAAUCAGCAAAUCAUCUGGUCAGCGCCCUGGUCAAAGGUAAAAUAGCACUUUUAGGAUAGGAUGCCCUUUUUUCAUGCGGCUCAGUGCAUCUUCCGAUGGUCAACAUCUUGUAGUACAAAAGUUUUUGGAUCAACACAACCAUGAACACACAAAGGUAUGCUUGUGCCGGAUAUUUGGUUUCUAAGAAGCAAAAUUAAAAUACUUUAACCACUUAUAGAUAAGAAUUUCUAAAGCUCGAGGAUAAGAAGAAUGUCAUGGAGACAGAUGAAGUAUAUGAACCAAAAUCAGCACCAACACAGAAGCUGGCUACCACAAAUUUUGUGUAAGAUGGGUGCCAAAAAUGCUUACAGAUCACCAUAAAGAACAACGAAUGGGGGCAGCUGUGACGUUUUUGAAGGCCUACCACAGUCAUGGUGAUGCACUACUGAAUCGAAUCGUAACAAGAGAUGAAACCUGUCAAUUUUGAGUCAAAAUUACAGUCCAUAGGUGGGGGCACACUUGUUUCCCUAAAAAACCAAUGAAAUAUCUGCAAAAUGUUUUUGGCAAGGAAGAUCAUAGCAACAGUGUCCUGGGACAGCCACUGAAAACCAAGAUGAUAGUCCAGUCCUAUGAUGGUGAAUUAAAAGCAACAAGCUGCUCAGAGUUACUGUCCGAGGUUGUUUGUAAUGGAAUGUUAGAAAUCGCCUCUGAAGAUGCUAUUGAAGGUGCAGGUGACAAUGGACACAAUACCCUGGUCUUGACAGACAAUUUAAUACAGAAGUGUUCAAGAGUGACUCCAGAAAUUAGAAGGUUAAAGAGGAAACGGAAGUAUGAUAAAUUUGUGAAAGAUGAUCCAGCUUCAACGAACUCACAAGAGGGUGGCAGGUACUGAAAAUGAGCCUGAUCUUACACAGCAUUGUUCACCUCAAAAGCCAGAUGAAUAUGACCUCUUUGCUCAACAUAUAGCAGAACAGCUACGUAAACUACCUACACAGAGAUUUAUUGUAUUGCAAGACAAAAUUCAGAGGCUAGUUACGUCUGAAAGAAUAGAACACCUGUCAGAAGUUUCAGAGCAGUGUAGUUCCAAUGUCAGUUCCGCUUCUCCUCCCACAAGAUGAAAGGACUGAAGAGA